This 253-nucleotide ribosomal RNA is filed under the name uncultured bacterium. Its description in RNAcentral is "partial 16S ribosomal RNA". It matches the Rfam family "Bacterial small subunit ribosomal RNA", at positions 524 to 776 of the family's 1533-position model. The record is from RNAcentral.
UACAGAGGGGGCAAGCGUUGUUCGGAAUUACUGGGCGUAAAGGGCGCGUAGGCGGCCUUCUAAGUCGAACGUGAAAUCCCCGGGCUCAACCCGGGAACUGCGUCCGAUACUGGAAGGCUAGAAUCCGGGAGAGGGAUGCGGAAUUCCAGGUGUAGCGGUGAAAUGCGCAGAUAUCGGGAGGAACACCAGUAGCGAAGGCGGCUCGCUGGGCCACACCUGACGCUGAGACGCGAAAGCUAGGGGAGCGAACAGG